Molecule: long non-coding RNA, 219 nt
Filed under: Phoenix dactylifera (date palm)
Lineage: Eukaryota; Viridiplantae; Streptophyta; Magnoliopsida; Arecales; Arecaceae
Description: long non-coding RNA (PDAC_LNC011209)
Source: RNAcentral
CAACUAGCUUAUUGCUAGUCUCUAGCAAUUAACGAGCAAAUAAUAAAAUGAGAGUACAAAAGGUGUGGUUUAACCUUUGACUUUUUAUUGAAGCUAAAGACAUAAAACUAAGAUAUGUACUCACUUUCGUAGGAAUCACGAUUGCACUUAGCACGUGCAACAAGCCGUUAAAUCCCUAAGUUACCCUAGUGGACGAGUGUUGUCUCGUGAGGGUUUUCA